AGGAUUAGAUAUCCUGGUAGUCCACGCCGUAAACGAUGUCUACUAGCCGUUGGGACUCUUGAAGUCUUAGUGGCGCAGCUAACGCACUAAGUAGACCGCCUGGGGAGUACGGCCGCAAGGUUAAAACUCAAAUGAAUUGACGGGGGCCCGCACAAGCGGUGGAGCAUGUGGUUUAAUUCGACGCAACGCGAAGAACCUUACCUGGCCUUGACAUGCAGAGAACUUUCCAGAGAUGGAUUGGUG
RNAcentral lists this ribosomal RNA (243 nucleotides) under uncultured bacterium. RNAcentral describes it as "partial 16S ribosomal RNA". It matches the Rfam family "Bacterial small subunit ribosomal RNA", at positions 774 to 1016 of the family's 1533-position model. The record is from RNAcentral.